Molecule: ribosomal RNA, 226 nt
Filed under: uncultured bacterium
Lineage: Bacteria
Description: partial 16S ribosomal RNA
Rfam family: Bacterial small subunit ribosomal RNA
Source: RNAcentral
UUAAAGCCAUUCUCAGUUCGGAUUGUAGGCUGAAACUCGCCUACAUGAAGCUGGAGUUACUAGUAAUCGCAGAUCAGAAUGCUGCGGUGAAUGCGUUCCCGGGUCUUGUACACACCGCCCGUCACACCACGGAAGUUGGGGGCGCCCGAAGCCACUUAGCUAACCCUUUUGGGAAGCGAGUGUCGAAGGUGAAAUCAAUAAUGGGGUGAAGUCGUAACAAGGUAUC